AUACGGGGGGGGCAAGCGUUGUUCGGAAUUAUUGGGCGUAAAGGGCGCGUAGGCGGUCCCGCAAGUCUUUCGUGAAAUCCCACAGCUCAACUGUGGAACUGCGAGGGAAACUGCAGGACUUGAGUCCGGGAGAGGAGAGUGGAAUUCCCAGUGUAGCGGUGAAAUGCGUAGAUAUUGGGAGGAACACCGGUGGCGAAGGCGGCUCUCUGGACCGGUACUGACGCUGAGGCGCGAAAGCUAGGGGAGCAAACGGGAUUAGAAACCCCAGUAGUCC
This 274-nucleotide ribosomal RNA is filed under the name uncultured bacterium. RNAcentral's name for it is "partial 16S ribosomal RNA". It matches the Rfam family "Bacterial small subunit ribosomal RNA", at positions 523 to 796 of the family's 1533-position model. The record is from RNAcentral.